This is a non-coding RNA of Bubalus bubalis (water buffalo), 991 nucleotides long. The record is from the annotation of a RefSeq genome assembly. NCBI's taxonomy places the organism in Eukaryota, Metazoa, Chordata, Mammalia, Artiodactyla, Bovidae.
AGGGCAGGAAGACCUAGACAAGGAACUGCUUGAUCAUUGGCUGAGCGAUCCUGGCAACAAUACACUGCAACAGAUACCUGCACUGGUUGUAAGUCUCUAACAGCAACAGUUGUUUCUGUUCUCUGGAAACAAGCCUAGGAGCAGACACAAGUGUGAGCUCUGAGCCCACAAUCCUGGUUUGUCCUUGAAGUAUGAGGCUGGUGAUUGGAAUAACUGUUUUUCUGACCUUGGGGACUGUGAUUAAUGCUAAGAUCACCCAGCCCAGCUCCAUGGAUUGUGCUGAAGGAGAGGAUGUAAACCUGCCUUGUAACCACUCUACCAUUGGUGGAAAUGACUAUAUCCAUUGGUAUCGGCAAAAUCCCAAUCAGAGUCCACAGUAUGUCAUUUGUGGCUUACGAGGCACAGUGAACAGCAGCAUGGCCUCUCUGACCAUAGCUUCAGACAGAAAGUCCAGCACCUUGGUCCUGCCCCAGCUCACCCUGAGAGACGUCGCUGUGUACUACUGUGUCCUGAGAGAGGCACACUGGGACAGACGGGGCUGCACCUGUGCAGUAUCUCUGGUGGGAAGAUGGGGGGGCAGAGUUGGGGGAGCGGUCACGAGAGCAAAUCUAGAAUCAUUUGGAAGGAGAAUCAGAAGAGCAGUAAGACAUGAGGGAAAUGAAGGGAAGGGAAAUGGAAGAAGAUGGAUAAAGAAAAGAAGAGAAAGAGGACAAGGAAGAAGUGCUUCAUUGGUUGAUGUAGCUAUGAAUGAUAAGGAAACUAAGAAUCAUAAUUUUAACACAGGAAUAAAGUGAAGAGGUAUUAAUAGUUUGUCAUGGCUCCUCCUCGUGUCAAUAAAAUGUUGGUUUCAGUGUGUUAAAGAUGAAAAGAUAAGGAAAAUACAAAUAAUUCUCCUGUUCCAAAGGCUUCUUUCGUUUGGACCCAGGACAAAUCCAUACUCAGAAAUGCAUAUUAUUACAGUUGUUUCACUUGCAUAUUGAUCUUACUCAGA